UCUUUAUUAAUUUUUAGGAUAAAUCAUGGACACAUAAACAUGAUUAAAAAUAAAAAUAUCAUUUUAUUAAUAAUAAAAUUUUAUAAGUAUAUGAAUAGACUCUGAAAUUACAUAAUGUCUUAGCCAACAAUUGGCUUCUAGGACACAUAUCUAACAGUCACAUAUUUCUCAUCUCAUAUAACAUGAGAUCAUAUGCUUGUAUUACACAUCCAACUAUCAUCACAGUCUAUAAUGCAUCAGUUGAUUGCAUGAUUACUCUGACUAAAGCUUAGAGUUACAUAAAUUUGUUUCAAUCACAUGGCUUGGCAAUUAUUUUCUAACGACGAUGACCACUUGUAAAUAAUGUGUGAACAUCUUAAUGAAACAAAAUCCAUGUUUUUGUUGCAUUUAACAUUCAAGUUCUAAUUGACCAUAAGCAUAAUAAUUAAGUCGAACAAGAUGAGUGACCCAUGAGCACUUGAACCAUGGGUAGCACUAAUUGAAGGAUGUCUCAUUUUUUGUGCUUCUCUUGUUAUUAUAUAGGUUUUCCUUAUAUCUCUUAGUAGUUUUCUACUAUUAUAAUCUCUUGUAUGAGUCUCCCUGGAAGGGUGCUAAAGCUAGUUAAGCAAUACACUCUCUUGUAAAUUCCAUAUAAUCUAUUCAAUAUGGUGGAUCUAAUUUUUGGGCGAAUCAUACUAAACCUUGGUGUAUUGUGCAUGCUGUAUUCUCUAUUAUUUUUUUUAAUGGUAUUGUAUCAAUUAGUAUCAAAAUUUAGGGUACAGACAA
RNAcentral lists this long non-coding RNA (765 nucleotides) under Elaeis guineensis (African oil palm). RNAcentral describes it as "long non-coding RNA (EGUI_LNC069480)". Lineage: Eukaryota; Viridiplantae; Streptophyta; Magnoliopsida; Arecales; Arecaceae. The record is from RNAcentral.